UGUUCAGGGGUAAACCUGUGGUUCCCGAAAGUUCGAACGGGGAGAUUCAAUUGCCUCGCCGGUUAUGACCAUUUAACAGUGAUGUGUUUAUGAUAUAUAUUUGAGACAUUAUAUGGCGGUUGCGGGUUUAUUCUCGUAGCUGUUUCUGUAUAGUGCUCCACUGUUUUAUGAUAUAUAGUUUAUAGCCGGAGGCGUGCACUUCUCCCCUUGUAGGACGUCGUGACCCAUUGGAUUAUGUUGUCUAAGGCUUAUAAUGGAGACCGUGGCAUUAAGUUUCGGCUUUAAUGACCCGGACUUAUAGUGUCCCGACAUCUAUCCGAUGGUAUAAUUAUGAUGAUAGAUCGCUAAUGAGCGUUCAGAUCCAUAACAAAUGCUUUAUUAUGAGAAAUAGUGGAAAUCGGAUUUAAUGCCGAUUCUACACAUAUGGUAUUGUUAGUUGUGGUAUUCUCGAACCGUUCUUUAUAUAUCAUCAGUCAACGGCGUUUAUGUUUUGGGUAAUUACAGGACCCGUCUUGAAACACGGACCAAGGAGUCUAGCAUGUGCGCAAGUCAUUGGGACUUUGUGAAACCUAAAGGCGUAAUGAAAGUGAAAUAUUUGUGAAUUUUCGUAAUUCACUGAAUUUAAGGGAAGAUGGGUAACGUAAUUUAUGUUACCUCGCAUUCCCGGGGCGUCGCGUACUUAUUGCAAGUUGCGGCGCACCAAGAGCGUACACGCUGGGACCCGAAAGAUGGUGAACUAUGCCUGGUCAGGAUGAAGUCAGGGGAAACCCUGAUGGAGGUCCGUAGCGAUUCUGACGUGCAAAUCGAUCGUAUGAACUGGGUAUAGGGGCGAAAG
RNAcentral lists this ribosomal RNA (835 nucleotides) under Calathus melanocephalus. Its description in RNAcentral is "eukaryotic LSU rRNA". It matches the Rfam family "Eukaryotic large subunit ribosomal RNA", at positions 406 to 929 of the family's 3401-position model. Lineage: Eukaryota; Metazoa; Arthropoda; Insecta; Coleoptera; Carabidae. The record is from RNAcentral.